GGCCGGUUAGCUCAGUCGGUUGAGCGUGGUCCUGAUAACACCAAGGUCACAGGUUUGAUUCCUAUUCUGUCCC
RNAcentral lists this transfer RNA (73 nucleotides) under Apaloderma vittatum (bar-tailed trogon). It matches the Rfam family "tRNA". Rfam says of the family: Transfer RNA (tRNA) molecules are approximately 80 nucleotides in length. Their secondary structure includes four short double-helical elements and three loops (D, anti-codon, and T loops). The record is from Rfam by way of RNAcentral. Lineage: Eukaryota; Metazoa; Chordata; Aves; Trogoniformes; Trogonidae.